RNAcentral lists this ribosomal RNA (390 nucleotides) under uncultured bacterium. RNAcentral describes it as "bacterial SSU rRNA". It matches the Rfam family "Archaeal small subunit ribosomal RNA", at positions 82 to 477 of the family's 1478-position model. The record is from RNAcentral.
AUUACGGCUCAGUAACACGUGGUUAACCUGCCCUAAGGUGGAGAAUACUCCCGGGAAACUGGGGCUAAUGCUCCAUAGUGGAUAUGUCCUGGAAUGGUAUAUCCUCGAAAGAUCCGUCGCCUUAGGAUGGGACUGCGUCCGAUUAGGUUGUUGGCGGGGUAACGGCCCACCAAGCCAUUGAUCGGUACGGGUUGUGGGAGCAAGAUCCCGGAGAUGGAUUCUGAGACAUGAAUCCAGGCCCUACGGGGCGCAGCAGGCGCGCAAACUUUACAAUGCGAGCAAUCGUGAUAAGGAAACCCUGAGUGCCUGUCGAUGCAGGCUGUUCAUAUAUCUAAAUCAUAUGUGAAGAAAGGGCAGGGCAAGACCGGUGCCAGCAGCCGCGGUAAUAAU